AACGAACGCUGGCGGCGCGCUUAACACAUGCAAGUCGAACGAGAAGGCGUAGCAAUACGCUGGUACAGUGGCGAACGGGUGAGGAAUACAUGGGUAACCUACCCUCGAGUGGGGGAUAACCCGCCGAAAGGCGGGCUAAUACCGCGUACGCUUCCGAUCUUGCGGGAUCGGAAGGAAAGCUGUCCCAAGGGGAUGGCGCUCAAGGAUGGGCUCAUGUCCUAUCAGCUUGUUGGAGGGUAACGGCCUACCAAGGCAUCGACGGGUAGCUGGUCUGAGAGGACGAUCAGCCACACUGGCACUGCGACACGGGCCAGACUCCUACGGGAGGCAGCAGUGAGGAAUAUUGCGCAAUGGGGCGAAAGCCUGACGCAGCGACGCCGCGUGGGGGA
RNAcentral lists this ribosomal RNA (389 nucleotides) under uncultured bacterium. Its description in RNAcentral is "bacterial SSU rRNA". It matches the Rfam family "Bacterial small subunit ribosomal RNA", at positions 29 to 408 of the family's 1533-position model. The record is from RNAcentral.